This 314-nucleotide unclassified non-coding RNA is filed under the name uncultured Thelephorales. RNAcentral describes it as "sequence contains 5.8S rRNA gene, ITS2, 28S rRNA gene". The record is from RNAcentral. Lineage: Eukaryota; Fungi; Basidiomycota; Agaricomycetes; Thelephorales.
AACGCACCUUGCGCCCUUUGGCUAUUCCGAAGGGCAUGCCUGUUUGAGUAUCAUGAACAUCUCAACUCUCAUGGUCUGCCAUGAUGAGCUUGGAUUUUGGGGGCCUUUGCUGGCUUGUGUCAGCUCCUCUCAAAGGAAUCAGCUUGCCAGUGUCUGGUGGCAUCACGAGUGUGAUAACUGUCUACGCUUGUGGUUUUCCACCAGGUAACCUUCAGCGAUGGAGGUUCACUGGGGCUCAUAAAUGUCCUUCCCCAGAGAAGACAGCUCUUUGAACAUUUGAUCUCAAAUCAGGUAGGACUACCCGCUGAACUUAA